UGGCCACCCUUGCAGACAGAGACCCCAGGAUGGCCGGCCAGGACGUAGCCGUCUUCGCAGAAAUGCUGCACCAUGGAGCCAGCCUUAAACCCGCCGCUGCCCAGAGACAGCGUGCACGCCAAGGACGCACACCUGCCGGGCUGCGUGAUCGGACUACAACUCCCGUGAUCCACCAGAGCCAGGAUCUCCCAUUUUUCACCACCUCCAGUCUCCAAGAAUGGACGCCACGUUGCAUCAUGGGAAGCGUAGUCUAACUGGCCUAUAGAGGCGAACAGGGGCAGGGGACACCCAGACUACAACUCCCAUGAGGGGCCACAGCAGCCUGGCCAAAUGCAAAUAUUCUGCUUUUCAGGCACUCAGUUCUUCAGUUUAAAAAAAUCCAGUUUUCCAGGGGGAAGCAGAUGAUUUUUUUGCCAGUAAAUUGUUGAAUACCCAAUAGUCGAAUAUCCGAUUUUCCGUCAAAACCAUUUUGAUGGGAAGGUUUCACCCAGGAGGGAUGGGAAAGGCAGCCAAGCGGGUUUGGAAGGCGAGCACCAGCCAGUACCUUUCCUCCGGAGGACAGCACCAGAGCCGCAGAGCGUCGCGAAGAACAGAGCCGUGGGGAGGUAACACGAGGGCCGGCGCAGCCUGGGACAUCCCGGAGCCUUUGCCAUCUCACCGGUAGCCUCUGCCCAGAGCUGCAGAACCAGCUGCAAUAAGCCGACACGUUACCAUCCUGUAGGACUUGAUAACCCAUCUUACAAACGCUGAGUAGGGCAGGGCUGGCUCUCAGCCUGUGCCAGGGCAGCACGUAGCCCGCUGGGGCCCCACUGGACGUUCAACCCUCUCAGACACAGCCCCCGGGAGCGGUUACCGACACCAUCCAGUCCAGGAAGAGCCAGGUUGGACCACCUGGAGAUCAGAGGCUGGAGGCUUCCACCCGCGGCCCCUGCGCGGUGAGCCCAGGGCUCCAGCCCCCAGAAAGCCAGCCGGGCCCAGCUCCUGGUUUCCAUUGAAAUCAGUGAAUAUUCAGAGGCUCGAGGGGUCUGGGCCCCAGCCUGGAUUCGACGAGGUCAAGAGACGGAGAACGGAGCACGUCCCUCGGGAGCUCGGUUAAAAAUCGGUGCCUUCGUUCUAACUGGACUCUGGCUUUGACUUCCAGCCCAGGGCUCCGACUUGCUCCACCGGCUUGAAAGUGCCUUGGAGCGGCUGACGCCUUCUCCCCAGGAAGGUACGUCACAUAUCGAGAGCAAGCACCGGGCAGAGCCCCCCCCCCGCCGUCUAACCACCCCAGCUCUAGCCCCCACAGCACGUGAACCUGCACAUACGUCCCCCCUCUCCCCAAAGAAACCACACAAGGCCAGCGUUUCGUUUUCCUCCCAAAAAAGAAAGCCUGUAAUUGUCACACUAACCUCAAAACUGUUCGAAAAGUUUUGCCUGGCUGAGGCCCACAAAAAAAGUCCCCAAACCCCAAACUCACAGCACAAGAUCCAAUUCUUUUUUUAUACAAGUCAGUCCCUGGCUGAAUCAGCCCCCCCCCCCAUCAGGAAUACUGUAGUGUUACAAAAUGACAAUAUAAAUAGCUUCUUUAAAAAAAAAUAGUAACAAGAAAACAAAUCAGUAGUUGUUUCUCGACAGAGUUCACCGGUUCUUUGCAUCGCCUUUGAGCUGCCUUGACAGGCCCCCUCCCACCAGGCUCUCAGAGGAUUGCAGCCCUGGGCAGCUUGCUGUGGAAGUUGGGAUGCGGGGGGAACUAGUGUCUUACACCGCAGCGGACCAGCCUGUGCUGAUUGUCACAAGCCCACCGUUGGCGUGCGAUGACGUAGCGGGGGGAAGCAGGACCGCUCGGUCAUUCCGUGAGCAAACCACCGCCGCCGGGGUUUCCCCCACAGCAGCAGGUGCCGGGGGAGCGAGCGAUUCAGAAAAGGGAGAGCAGCUCUUCAGCCAGGGGCGAAGCAGCCCAGCGCCAGGGGUCGCCCGCAGAAGCGGCGAGCGAACGGUGUAAAUUGGCCGAGCUGCAGCCUGCGAUGGGGCCGCAGGGAUCGACAGCAGCUGAGGAGCGGGCCCCGGGCGUGAGGCUGAUUUCACCAGCUGGGGAGUUGGAGCAGAUGCUGCUACAGUGGUGUCAGCUGGGAAUAAAGCUCGUGCCAGUGGAAGGAUAAUGCCUCCCUCUGCUCCCUGUGCCCCCUGGGAACGCUCGACCCCACGCCCCAGCUCCCAUAUGCUUCAAGGAGACCCCGGAUCCUGAGCCAGCCCAGAGGCAUGUUGAGUGGCAGGCUGGGGGCUCAGCCGCCAUUGCCAAGUGACCCACAAAGCCCUUCUGCUCCAGUCCGUGAGCCGUAAAGGGUCCGCCCCAGCUCAUGUGCUCCCCGGGAGGCUCAGGGAGAGGUUCGGGGGUCUGAGCAGUAGAGGAUGGGGCUCAGAGGGUAUCCAGUAACACACCGGGACUGGGUGAAGUAAGAGACCGGAGAAGGUCUGUGUAAUUGAUCUGAAACCCCAAUGAAAAUAAAUGUUGGUUAAAAACUUUCCCGUAUGGGGAGAUCAGGGGAUGGGUUACGAGGCGGAGGAGGAAUUCAGAGCUGGCUGAUGUGGUUUAUGUCAGAACGGAACAUGGGCGUGAGAAGCGGCGAGGCCGGGUGUACUGUACAGCACGGGACAGCCUCACACCCACAGGCUUCGCUGCAAUUUCAGCGGGCUGAGAAACGGCAGGAGGUUAAAAAACGACGUGUCAAGAGCUGAGAAAAACUGCAGGAGCCCAGCCAGGAGUCAGACAAAGGGCUCGGGCUGAGAAGGGAGGGCCUAGGCACAGCACAGUGCCCGAGGGGCUGUACUGAACGAGACACACCCCCACACCGUAAACACGUCGGGGUGUAGCGCUGGGUUUGGGUGACAGAGAGCUUUGCAUCAUGGCCAGUCGUGGGUGGGUAUGAAUACACACAUCCUGGUCAUGCUGCCGGGCACUUCAUGGGUGUUUUAGUGAUCUAGUUUAUGUUUAAAAACGCUAAGGCCUAAUAGAAAAAGAGCAUGAAAUAGACCUUCCCGGUCACCCUACGCAGCCAUAACGUGUCACGAAUUCGGACAACUCAGCAUGCAGCACUGGCUCAAUCCUGCUCUCCCUAAAAUCCCCGGUAAGACACUGGAUCCGUAAGAGCAGAAUUCAGCCAGCGUGGGGUGCUCUGGAAGAUCUUACGCAUUAGCCAACCUUCAGCAUGCCCGUGGCUGGCUCCUAACUGGACCGACUUCCGCUCUGCCCAUCGCUUGCACCCCAGUGAGUUCAGUGGAGCCAAUUCCCGAUUGCCACCCAGGGAAGGGUUAGGUCCAGCACAUAAAAAUACCUAAUUGGACCCAGCUCCCGCCCCCCUUCCCCCUGUCAAUCUCUAGAGGCAGGCUGCCCUGUAGUUCUCUCUGUUGUAACAAGCAGCACGACUGACGUGCAGUUCUGCAGACAAGAAUCCAGUGGCCAGGCAAACCAGAUAAAAUAACCGCAAACAAUCCCCUUGUGUCUGUAACCAGCCCACUCCUGCUGCACGAGGGGGGCUCC
This is a long non-coding RNA of Chelonia mydas (Green sea turtle), 3520 nucleotides long. RefSeq lists it as uncharacterized. NCBI's taxonomy places the organism in Eukaryota, Metazoa, Chordata, Testudines, Cheloniidae. The record is from RefSeq and is a predicted model, not a curated record. The transcript is spliced from 3 exons.